This 559-nucleotide unclassified non-coding RNA is filed under the name Hevea brasiliensis (rubber tree). The record is from RNAcentral. Lineage: Eukaryota; Viridiplantae; Streptophyta; Magnoliopsida; Malpighiales; Euphorbiaceae.
GCAAUUCCUUCACUUUUCUAGGGUUUUCUGAAAUUUCCCAUCAAUUCUUUUCUCGAUUUCAACCGUUUUAAAUACAGUUCUGACGUGGGUGUUACGAGGGGAAACCCAUUUUUCUGAUUUUUGAGCUUCUGGGGGUUUCGGCCACCGAUGACAUAUAAUGAGACGGAUAACGGCCGGAGAGGAGAAGUGGUGGCGGAGGAUAUCGAGGUGGGAAUUGGAUGUGAUGAUGACAAUGGCGAUUAUGUUAGAUUGAGACAGAGCCCUUGUAAUUGUGAACCUGAGGUCUCCUCUGAUGGGGGUUCUUCUUCUCAGCCUUGUUCUCCAGGAAGGUCUUUGUGGCUUUGGGUUCGUUUGGUGGUGUUGUUCGUUUUCUUGGUCUCAUUAGCUGUUGUUUUUUUCAAAUGGGUUGGGCCAUUUUUCAUGAAUAAGGAAAUAAUACCAAUUAUAAAUUGGGAAGCUGAGACACUUAGUACUCCAGUGCUGGCAAUUUUUGUUUUCGGCUCAGUAGCACUGUUCCCUUCAUUGUUUUUACCAUCUUCACCUUCUAUGUGGCUGGCAG